This is a long non-coding RNA of Astatotilapia calliptera (eastern happy), 983 nucleotides long. NCBI's taxonomy places the organism in Eukaryota, Metazoa, Chordata, Actinopteri, Cichliformes, Cichlidae. The record is from Ensembl.
GGUCUUCCUUGGUCUCUUGUGUUCUGGGGGCCUCUGGAUGUCUGGAGUUUUGAUCUCCUCCAUACCUGCUUGAUACCAUAAAGGACAGGGCUGUGGCUCCCCACAAUCCCUAGCAGAUCAUUACAUGGAGAAACCUUUGGAAUGCAAGCAUGCUGAUCCACACAGGUAUGCACACAGGUGUACACACGGGUAUUCACAGACGCGGACUACAGCUUUCUUGGCUGCUGCCUCAAAGCACACUGUGCGCUGUCUAUCUUGCGUGCUGCACAAUAUCGUUUAUUAUUUAGUAUCUACUGAUAUCUACUGCUAGCUAGUUUAUUGUGAUGGUGCUGUUUUUUUUAUUAUGUUGCUCUUUGUUGUUUGCUUUCUCUUCUGUUUUUUUUCUCCAUACAGGUGAUCCAGGUGCUUUGUUUGUUUUUUGUUUGUUUGUUUUUUUUUUCUUCCCCCCCUUCUCACCGUCUCUUCUCCCCUUUGGUUUUCUUUCUCUCCCUCUCUUUCUUUCAUGCUUUCUCCCUGUCCUAUCCCCCAGUCAUGUCUGUCCCGUUUGUAGCAACUGAAAAUAAAAUAAAUUCAUAAUUAUAAUAAAGGUCAAUCAAAUGGACCAAUAUGGCAAGGCCAUGAUGAUCCACUUGGUAAAAUAAAUCCGCUUGGCAUCUUUCUUGGCCUUAAGACAACAAUUCUGAUGGCUAAAGAUCCAAACGGGACACACACAAAAAAGAAAAAAAAAAAGAAAAUGAGUAAUUUUUACUUUUUUUUUGUGAGUACACAAUUGUUAAACCAACUUAAUAUGUUUACUAAUAAUUGAUCAGUUUAACUUAUUAGUCCCCACUUAUUCAGGGAGCUUUAGAUUUACACCAGCAUUUCUUUUCAGACACAGCAGACGAAGACAAUGUCAACAUCUGUAAUCAAUGGAAUGGUCAAAACAACAAAUGAGGGCUCUGUGUGCAGGCGGAUGGAGAGGAGGAUCCAAUUUCAAAACUCGG